AGUGAACGCUGGCGGUAGGCCUAACACAUGCAAGUCGAACGGCAGCACAGUAAGAGCUUGCUCUUACGGGUGGCGAGUGGCGGACGGGUGAGGAAUACAUCGGAAUCUACUUUUUCGUGGGGGAUAACGUAGGGAAACUUACGCUACUACCUCAUACGACCUACGGGUGAAAGCAGGGGAUCUUCGGACCUUGCGCGAUUGAAUGAGCCGAUGUCGGAUUAGCUAGUUGGCGGGGUAAAGGCCCACCAAGGCGACGAUCCGUAGCUGGUCUGAGAGGAUGAUCAGCCACACUGGAACUGAGACACGGUCCAGACUCCUACGGGAGGCAGCAGUGGGGAAUAUUGGACAAUGGGCGCAAGCCUGAUCCAGCCAUACCGCGUGGGUGAAGAAGGCCUUCGGGUUGUAAAGCCCUUUUGUUGGGAAAGAAAAGCAGCAGGUUAAUACCCCGCUGUUCUGACGGUACCCAAAGAAUAAGCACCGGCUAACUUCGUG
This 492-nucleotide ribosomal RNA is filed under the name uncultured bacterium. Its description in RNAcentral is "partial 16S ribosomal RNA". It matches the Rfam family "Bacterial small subunit ribosomal RNA", at positions 29 to 507 of the family's 1533-position model. The record is from RNAcentral.